RNAcentral lists this ribosomal RNA (119 nucleotides) under Dasypus novemcinctus (nine-banded armadillo). The record is from RNAcentral. Lineage: Eukaryota; Metazoa; Chordata; Mammalia; Cingulata; Dasypodidae.
GUCUAUGGCCAUACCACCCUGAAUGCACCCAAUCACGUCUAAUCUCAGAAGCUAAGCAGGGUUGGGCCUGGUUAGUACUUGGACGGGAGUCCACCUGGCAAUACGGGGUGCUAAAAGCU